This 324-nucleotide ribosomal RNA is filed under the name Clostridioides difficile. Its description in RNAcentral is "bacterial SSU rRNA". It matches the Rfam family "Bacterial small subunit ribosomal RNA", at positions 1021 to 1346 of the family's 1533-position model. The record is from RNAcentral. Lineage: Bacteria; Bacillati; Bacillota; Clostridia; Peptostreptococcales; Peptostreptococcaceae.
GGGGACAUUGGUGACAGGUGGUGCAUGGUUGUCGUCAGCUCGUGUCGUGAGAUGUUGGGUUAAGUCCCGCAACGAGCGCAACCCUUGUCUUUAGUUGCCAUCAUUAAGUUGGGCACUCUAGAGAGACUGCCAGGGAUAACCUGGAGGAAGGUGGGGAUGACGUCAAAUCAUCAUGCCCCUUAUGCUUAGGGCUACACACGUGCUACAAUGGGUAGUACAGAGGGUUGCCAAGCCGUAAGGUGGAGCUAAUCCCUUAAAGCUACUCUCAGUUCGGAUUGUAGGCUGAAACUCGCCUACAUGAAGCUGGAGUUACUAGUAAUCGCA